UACGUAGGGUGCUAGCGUUGUCCGGAAUUAUUGGGCGUAAAGAGCUCGUAGGCGGUCUGUCGCGUCGAAUGUGAAAACCCGGGGCUCAACUCCGGGCUUGCAUUCGAUACGGGCAGGCUAGAGUUCGGUAGGGGAGUCUGGAAUUCCUGGUGUAGCGGUGAAAUGCGCAGAUAUCAGGAGGAACACCGGUGGCGAAGGCGGGUCUCUGGGCCGAUACUGACGCUGAGGAGCGAAAGCGUGGGGAGCGAACAGG
This 253-nucleotide ribosomal RNA is filed under the name uncultured bacterium. RNAcentral describes it as "partial 16S ribosomal RNA". It matches the Rfam family "Bacterial small subunit ribosomal RNA", at positions 524 to 776 of the family's 1533-position model. The record is from RNAcentral.